This 208-nucleotide ribosomal RNA is filed under the name uncultured bacterium. Its description in RNAcentral is "partial 16S ribosomal RNA". It matches the Rfam family "Bacterial small subunit ribosomal RNA", at positions 568 to 775 of the family's 1533-position model. The record is from RNAcentral.
UCCGUAGGCGGGCGAUUAAGUCAGGGGUGAAAUCCCACAGCUCAACUGUGGAACUGCCUUUGAUACUGGUUGUCUUGAGUUACAGUGAAGUAGAUAGAAUAUGUAGUGUAGCGGUGAAAUGCAUAGAUAUUACAUAGAAUACCGAUUGCGAAGGCAGUCUACUAACUGUAUACUGACGCUAAGGGACGAAAGCGUGGGGAGCGAACAG